Molecule: ribosomal RNA, 262 nt
Filed under: Gigaspora margarita
Lineage: Eukaryota; Fungi; Glomeromycota; Glomeromycetes; Diversisporales; Gigasporaceae
Description: partial 28S ribosomal RNA
Source: RNAcentral
AUUAGAUCACGGUCAGCAUGCUAUCCGUAACCCAACACCAAUUAGAGAUCAGGCGGCUAGCCCCGAAGGGUAUCCGUUGCAAUCCUCGACCCCAAACAUCACAUCUAUCAAGGGCUAUAACACUCCCGAAGGAGCUACCUUCCCCCAAUUAUUUUAUGACAUUCAAAAUCGACGUUGACCUGCCAAGCGAAGAAGUGCACCCAGAGUUUCCCCUAAGUUGAUUCCCACCGGCAUGACUGACUUCAAUCGUUUCCCUUUCAAA